CGAGCACGCGCGUGUGGCAUAUCAAUAAGCGGAGGAAAAGAAACUAACAAGGAUUCCCUUAGUAACGGCGAGUGAAGCGGGAAGAGCUCAAAUUUGAAAUCUUCAAGGUUCUACCUUGACGAAUUGUAGUUUAUAGAAGUGUUUUCUGUUAGUAGAGUGGCAAAAGUUCUCUGGAAUAGGACAUCAUAGAGGGUGAGAAUCCCGUAUUUGGUCAUUCCUUCCUAGCUUUGUGAUACACUUUCAACGAGUCGGAUUGUUUGGGAAUGCAGUCCAAAAUGGGUGGUAAAUUUCAUCUAAAGCUAAGUAUUGGCGAGAGACCGAUAGCGAACAAGUACCGUGAGGGAAAGAUGAAAAGAACUUUGAAAAGAGAGUUAAACAGUACGUGAAAUUGUCAAAAGGGAAGCGUUUGACACCAGUGUUGUUUUUCCGAAAAUCAAUUACGAAUGUUUUAUUUUUGAGGAAGUUAUGACUUCAUCGGCUUGCUCUCUUCUUUACUGAAACUUUCUUAAUGCACUUUUCGGUUAACAAGUCAACAUCAAUUUCUUUUGUUGUAAAAGGGUAUGAGGAAGGUGGCUUUCUUUUCGGAGAGAGUGUUUAUAGCCUUGUACCUCUGCAAUCGGAGAGAUUGAGGUCUGCAGCGUAGAUCCUUCGGGGUUAGAUACAGUUUGUGCUAAGUUAUAGCUUUUCAUAGACAACUUGUUGACUAUGUUUAGUCAUUGUAGGCUUACUCGCUUAUGCUAUUUUACCUACGCUUAGGAUGUUGAGUAGCGACAUACGCAC
This 780-nucleotide ribosomal RNA is filed under the name uncultured Neocallimastigales. RNAcentral's name for it is "partial large subunit ribosomal RNA". It matches the Rfam family "Eukaryotic large subunit ribosomal RNA", at positions 19 to 649 of the family's 3401-position model. Lineage: Eukaryota; Fungi; Neocallimastigomycota; Neocallimastigomycetes; Neocallimastigales. The record is from RNAcentral.